ACUCCUACGGGAGGCAGCAGUGGGGAAUAUUGGGCAAUGGGGGAAACCCUGACCCAGCCACGCCGCGUGAGUGAUGAAGAGCCUUCGGGUCGUAAAGACUACUGUGGGGAGGGACGAACAAACUGGGUGAUAAUCAAGGUCGGUCCUGACGGUACCUCGUUAGCAAGCACCGAGUUAUUCUUCGUGCCAGCAGCCGCGGUAAU
This 203-nucleotide ribosomal RNA is filed under the name uncultured bacterium. RNAcentral describes it as "partial 16S ribosomal RNA". It matches the Rfam family "Bacterial small subunit ribosomal RNA", at positions 335 to 524 of the family's 1533-position model. The record is from RNAcentral.